AUUGAACGCUGGCGGCAGGCCUAACACAUGCAAGUCGAACGGCAGCACAGAAGAGCUUGCUCUUUGGGUGGCGAGUGGCGGACGGGUGAGUAAUGUCUGGGAAACUGCCCGAUGGAGGGGGAUAACUACUGGAAACGGUAGCUAAUACCGCAUAACGUCGCAAGACCAAAGUGGGGGACCUUCGGGCCUCACACCAUCGGAUGUGCCCAGAUGGGAUUAGCUAGUAGGUGGGGUAAUGGCUCACCUAGGCGACGAUCCCUAGCUGGUCUGAGAGGAUGACCAGCCACACUGGAACUGAGACACGGUCCAGACUCCUACGGGAGGCAGCAGUGGGGAAUAUUGCACAAUGUGCGCAAGCCUGAUGCAGCCAUGCCGCGUGUAUGAAGAAGGCCUUCGGGUUGUAAAGUACUCUCAGCGGGGAGGAAGGCGGUGAGGUUAAUAACCUCGCCGAUUGACGUUACCCGCAGAAGAAGCACCGGCUAACUCCGUGCCAGCAGCCGCGGUAA
Molecule: ribosomal RNA, 506 nt
Filed under: uncultured bacterium
Lineage: Bacteria
Description: partial 16S ribosomal RNA
Rfam family: Bacterial small subunit ribosomal RNA
Source: RNAcentral